This is a small nuclear RNA of Alexandromys fortis (reed vole), 189 nucleotides long. RefSeq annotates it as U2 spliceosomal RNA. NCBI's taxonomy places the organism in Eukaryota, Metazoa, Chordata, Mammalia, Rodentia, Cricetidae. The transcript has a single exon. The record is from RefSeq and is a predicted model, not a curated record.
GAUGCUUCUCGGCCCUUUGGCUAAGAACAAGUGUAGUGUCUGCUUUUAUCAGUUUAAUAUCUGAUAUGUCCUCUAUCCGAGGACAAUUUAUUAAAUGGAUUUUUGGAGCUGGGACCUGGGAUGGAAGCUUACCGCCCACUCCACAAACUGACCUUGUAUUGCAGUACCUCCAGGGUCAGUGCGGGGAAG